Molecule: ribosomal RNA, 253 nt
Filed under: uncultured bacterium
Lineage: Bacteria
Description: partial 16S ribosomal RNA
Rfam family: Bacterial small subunit ribosomal RNA
Source: RNAcentral
UACGUAGGGUGCAAGCGUUAAUCGGAAUUACUGGGCGUAAAGCGUGCGCAGGCGGUUGUGCAAGACAGAUGUGAAAUCCCCGGGCUUAACCUGGGAAUGGCAUUUGUGACUGCACGGCUAGAGUGUGUCAGAGGGGGGUAGAAUUCCACGUGUAGCAGUGAAAUGCGUAGAUAUGUGGAGGAAUACCGAUGGCGAAGGCAGCCCCCUGGGAUAACACUGACGCUCAUGCACGAAAGCGUGGGGAGCAAACAGG